RNAcentral lists this ribosomal RNA (253 nucleotides) under uncultured bacterium. RNAcentral describes it as "partial 16S ribosomal RNA". It matches the Rfam family "Bacterial small subunit ribosomal RNA", at positions 524 to 776 of the family's 1533-position model. The record is from RNAcentral.
UACAGAGGUGGCAAGCGUUGUUCGGAAUUACUGGGCGUAAAGGGCGCGUAGGCGGUCUUGUAAGUCUUGUGUGAAAUCCCUUGGCUUAACUGAGGAACUGCACGAGAUACUGCAAGACUUGAGAUCGGGAGAGGGAAGCGGAAUUCCGGGUGUAGCGGUGAAAUGCGUAGAUAUCCGGAGGAACACCGGUGGCGAAGGCAAUCCCCUGGGCCUGCACUGACGCUCAUGCACGAAAGCGUGGGGAGCAAACAGG